This 137-nucleotide small nuclear RNA is filed under the name Microcebus murinus (gray mouse lemur). Its description in RNAcentral is "U4 spliceosomal RNA (ENSMICG00000047951.1)". It matches the Rfam family "U4 spliceosomal RNA". From Rfam's summary of the family: U4 small nuclear RNA (U4 snRNA) is a component of the major U2-dependent spliceosome. The structure of U4 snRNA from yeast and human has been reported. The record is from Rfam by way of RNAcentral. Lineage: Eukaryota; Metazoa; Chordata; Mammalia; Primates; Cheirogaleidae.
AGCUUUGCACAGUGGCAGUAUCCAAUGAUGUUUAUCCAAGGCAUGAUGAUUGCUAAUUGAAACCUUUCCCAAUGCCCUACCAUGACGACUUGCAAUAUAUAGUUGGCACUGGCAAUUUUUGAUGGUCCCUGUGGAGA